GACGAACGCUGGCGGCGUGCUUAACACAUGCAAGUCGAACGAAGAGCGAUGGAAGCUUGCUUCUAUCAAUCUUAGUGGCGAACGGGUGAGUCACGCGUAAUCAACCUGCCCUUCAGAGGGGGACAACAGUUGGAAACGACUGCUAAUACUGCAUACGAUCUAAUCUCGGCAUCGAGGAGAGAUGAAAGGUGGCCGCUAAAUGUAAGCUAUCACUGAAGGAGGGGACUGCGGCUGAUUAGUUAGUUGGAGGGGUAACGGACCAUCUAGGCGAUGAUCAGUAGCCGGUCUGAGAGGAUGAGCAGCCGCAUUGGGACGGAGACACGGCCCAGACUCCUACGGGAGGCAGCAGGGGGGAAUCUUCCGCAAUGGACGAAAGUCUGACGGAGCAACGCCGCGUGAGUGAGGACGGCCUUCGGGUUGUAAAGCUCUGUUAAUCGGGACGAAAGGCCUUCUUGCGAAUAGUGAGAAGGAUUGACGGUACCGGAAUAGAAAGCCACGGCUAACUACGUG
RNAcentral lists this ribosomal RNA (510 nucleotides) under uncultured bacterium. RNAcentral's name for it is "partial 16S ribosomal RNA". It matches the Rfam family "Bacterial small subunit ribosomal RNA", at positions 28 to 507 of the family's 1533-position model. The record is from RNAcentral.